This 253-nucleotide ribosomal RNA is filed under the name uncultured bacterium. RNAcentral describes it as "partial 16S ribosomal RNA". It matches the Rfam family "Bacterial small subunit ribosomal RNA", at positions 524 to 776 of the family's 1533-position model. The record is from RNAcentral.
UACGUAGGGGGCAAGCGUUGUCCGGAUUUAUUGGGCGUAAAGAGCGUGUAGGCGGCCAAAUAGGUCGGUUGUGAAAACUGGAGGCUUAACCUCCAGACGUCGACCGAAACCAUCUGGCUAGAGUCCGGAAGAGGAGAGUGAAAUUCCUGGUGUAGCGGUGAAAUGCGCAGAUAUCAGGAAGAACACCCGUGGCGAAGGCGGCUCUCUGGGACGGUACUGACGCUGAGACGCGAAAGCGUGGGGAGCGAACAGG